UGGUGCCAGCAGCCGCGGUAAUUCCAGCUCCUAUAGCGUAUAUUAAAGUUGUUGCAGUUAAAAAGCUCGUAGUUGAAUUUCGGGGUUAGUAGGUUGGUCAUGCCUCUGGUAUGUACUGGCCUCACUGAUUCCUCCUUCCUGAUGAACCUUAAUGCCAUUAAUUUGGUGUUUUGGGGAAUUUGGACUGUUACUUUGAAAAAAUUAGAGUGUUUAAAGCAAGCUAACGCUUGAAUACAUUAGCAUGGAAUAAUGAAAUAGGACGUUCGAUCCUAUUUUGUUGGUUUCUAGGAUUGACGUAAUGAUUAAUAGGGAUAGUUGGGGGCAUUAGUAUUCAAUUGUCAGAGGUGAAAUUCUUGGAUUUAUUGAAGACUAACUACUGCGAAAGCAUUUGUCAGGGAUGUUUUCAUUAAUCAAGAACGAAAAGUUAGGGGAUCGAAGACGAUCUGAUACCGUCGUAGUCUUAAACCAUAAAACUAUGCCGAACUAGGGAUCGGAUGAUGUUAAUUUUUUAAUGACUCA
RNAcentral lists this ribosomal RNA (519 nucleotides) under vouchered mycorrhizae (Glomus). RNAcentral describes it as "SSU rRNA". It matches the Rfam family "Eukaryotic small subunit ribosomal RNA", at positions 562 to 1078 of the family's 1831-position model. Lineage: Eukaryota; Fungi; Glomeromycota; Glomeromycetes; Glomerales; Glomeraceae. The record is from RNAcentral.